CUUAUAGUGAACUAUCAUUAAGAUUGGUUCCAUUUCACUCCAAAAAACCUGCCGGACAAAAUAGGUGGAAGUAUAAUAAUAAUAAUAAUACAGAAAAAGAAACAGAGGAAAAGCAAUAUGUCACCCGACAUUGUCGAUCGGGUGAAUAAUAACUAGAAUUGCCAUUGCAAGCAAUAGCGGAUGUCACCCUUCCCCCAUUGCCACUAAGCGGCAG
Molecule: long non-coding RNA, 214 nt
Filed under: Mytilus galloprovincialis (Mediterranean mussel)
Lineage: Eukaryota; Metazoa; Mollusca; Bivalvia; Mytilida; Mytilidae
Source: RNAcentral